RNAcentral lists this transfer RNA (77 nucleotides) under Bacillota bacterium. RNAcentral's name for it is "tRNA-Ile". It matches the Rfam family "tRNA". Rfam says of the family: Transfer RNA (tRNA) molecules are approximately 80 nucleotides in length. Lineage: Bacteria; Bacillati; Bacillota. The record is from RNAcentral.
GGGCCUUUAGCUCAGCCGGUCAGAGCAACCGGCUCAUAACCGGUUGGUCCGGGAUUCGAGUCCCUGAAGGCCCACCA